This 624-nucleotide ribosomal RNA is filed under the name Clostridioides difficile. RNAcentral describes it as "bacterial SSU rRNA". It matches the Rfam family "Bacterial small subunit ribosomal RNA", at positions 1 to 651 of the family's 1533-position model. The record is from RNAcentral. Lineage: Bacteria; Bacillati; Bacillota; Clostridia; Peptostreptococcales; Peptostreptococcaceae.
UUUUAUUUGAGAGUUUGAUCCUGGCUCAGGAUGAACGCUGGCGGCGUGCCUAACACAUGCAAGUUGAGCGAUUUACUUCGGUAAAGAGCGGCGGACGGGUGAGUAACGCGUGGGUAACCUACCCUGUACACACGGAUAACAUACCGAAAGGUAUGCUAAUACGGGAUAAUAUAUUUGAGAGGCAUCUCUUAAAUAUCAAAGGUGAGCCAGUACAGGAUGGACCCGCGUCUGAUUAGCUAGUUGGUAAGGUAACGGCUUACCAAGGCGACGAUCAGUAGCCGACCUGAGAGGGUGAUCGGCCACAUUGGAACUGAGACACGGUCCAAACUCCUACGGGAGGCAGCAGUGGGGAAUAUUGCACAAUGGGCGAAAGUCUGAUGCAGCAACGCCGCGUGAGGGAUGAAGGCCUUCGGGUCGUAAAACUCUGUCCUCAAGGAAGAUAAUGACGGUACUUGAGGAGGAAGCCCCGGCUAACUACGUGCCAGCAGCCGCGGUAAUACGUAGGGGGCUAGCGUUAUCCGGAUUUACUGGGCGUAAAGGGUGCGUAGGCGGUCUUUCAAGUCAGGAGUGAAAGGCUACGGCUCAACCGUAGUAAGCUCUUGAAACUGGGAGACUUGAGUGCAG